Molecule: long non-coding RNA, 421 nt
Filed under: Homo sapiens (human)
Lineage: Eukaryota; Metazoa; Chordata; Mammalia; Primates; Hominidae
Description: MIR122 host gene (MIR122HG)
Source: RNAcentral
ACAGAAGCUGUGGAAGGCGCCAUCCUGCCUGCCACAGGAAGGGCCUUGGACUGAGAGGACCGGAGCUGACUGGGGAUUAUUCAAAGCCAAAAGCCAACAGAGCCCCCAUGGAGAAGUGGAGGAUGCUCAGAUACUGCUAUGGAGCCCUGAGAAGUGAAAUGGGUCCAAGCCCUUGCCCAGGAUAGAGCGCUCCAAGCGCAUCCUCCGGGGACCCUUUUAAUCAGUGAAUUGUUCACCUCUCACUGUUUCUUCCCAGCAGAGCUAAGAGACUUCUAGAGCCUCUUGUGGAUGGUCAGCGAUAGCCCUGAUUGAACAUUUGAGCAAGACCAGAUGCCUUUAUAUCCAAUAGAUGCCACGGAGAGUAGAUCACAACACAUCUAACUGCUGUAUCCCCAUAUAAAAUAAUUUUAAUUUUCCUAGA